GGGUUGUGAGGUUAAGCGACUAAGCGUACACGGUGGAUGCCCUGGCAGUCAGAGGCGAUGAAGGACGUGCUAAUCUGCGAUAAGCGUCGGUAAGGUGAUAUGAACCGUUAUAACCGUCGAUUUCCGAAUGGGGAAACCCAGUGCAAUUCGUUGCACUAUCGUUUGAUGAAUACAUAGUCAAACGAGGCGAACCGAGGGAACUGAAACAUCUAAGUACCUCGAGGAAAAGAAAUCAACCGAGAUUCCCCUAGUAGCGGCGAGCGAACGGGGAGCAGCCCAGAGUCUUAAUCAGCAUUAGCAUCAGGAGAACGGUCUGGAAAGGCCGGCAGUAAAGGGUGAUAGCCCCGUAUCCGAAGGUGUUAGUGUUGUGAACUCGACGAGUAGGGCGGGACACGUGUUAUCCUGUCUGAAUAUGGGGGGACCAUCCUCCAAGGCUAAAUACUCCUGACUGACCGAUAGUGAACCAGUACCGUGAGGGAAAGGCGAAAAGAACCCCGGCGAGGGGAGUGAAAAAGAACCUGAAACCGUGUACGUACAAGCAGUGGGAGCACAGAGCAAUCUGUGUGACUGCGUACCUUUUGUAUAAUGGGUCAGCGACUUAUAUUCUGUAGCAAGGUUAACCGAAUAGGGGAGCCGAAGGGAAACCGAGUCUUAACUGGGCGUUAAGUUGCAGGGUAUAGACCCGAAACCCGGUGAUCUAGCCAUGGGCAGGUUGAAGGUUGGGUAACACUAACUGGAGGACCGAACCGACUAAUGUUGAAAAAUUAGCGGAUGACUUGUGGCUGGGGGUGAAAGGCCAAUCAAACCGGGAGAUAGCUGGUUCUCCCCGAAAGCUAUUUAGGUAGCGCCUCGUGAAUUCAUCUCCGGGGGUAGAGCACUGUUUCGGCAAGGGGGUCAUCCCGACUUACCAACCCGAUGCAAACUGCGAAUACCGGAGAAUGUUAUCACGGGAGACACACGGCGGGUGCUAACGUCCGUCGUGAAGAGGGAAACAACCCAGACCGCCAGCUAAGGUCCCAAAGUCAUGGUUAAGUGGGAAACGAUGUGGGAAGGCCCAGACAGCCAGGAUGUUGGCUUAGAAGCAGCCAUCAUUUAAAGAAAGCGUAAUAGCUCACUGGUCGAGUCGGCCUGCGCGGAAGAUGUAACGGGGCUAAACCAUGCACCGAAGCUGCGGCAGCGACGCUUAUGCGUUGUUGGGUAGGGGAGCGUUCUGUAAGCCUGUGAAGGUGUGCUGUGAGGCAUGCUGGAGGUAUCAGAAGUGCGAAUGCUGACAUAAGUAACGAUAAAGCGGGUGAAAAGCCCGCUCGCCGGAAGACCAAGGGUUCCUGUCCAACGUUAAUCGGGGCAGGGUGAGUCGACCCCUAAGGCGAGGCCGAAAGGCGUAGUCGAUGGGAAACAGGUUAAUAUUCCUGUACUUGGUGUUACUGCGAAGGGGGGACGGAGAAGGCUAUGUUGGCCGGGCGACGGUUGUCCCGGUUUAAGCGUGUAGGCUGGUUUUCCAGGCAAAUCCGGAAAAUCAAGGCUGAGGCGUGAUGACGAGGCACUACGGUGCUGAAGCAACAAAUGCCCUGCUUCCAGGAAAAGCCUCUAAGCAUCAGGUAACAUCAAAUCGUACCCCAAACCGACACAGGUGGUCAGGUAGAGAAUACCAAGGCGCUUGAGAGAACUCGGGUGAAGGAACUAGGCAAAAUGGUGCCGUAACUUCGGGAGAAGGCACGCUGAUAUGUAGGUGAAGUCCCUCGCGGAUGGAGCUGAAAUCAGUCGAAGAUACCAGCUGGCUGCAACUGUUUAUUAAAAACACAGCACUGUGCAAACACGAAAGUGGACGUAUACGGUGUGACGCCUGCCCGGUGCCGGAAGGUUAAUUGAUGGGGUUAGCGGUAACGCGAAGCUCUUGAUCGAAGCCCCGGUAAACGGCGGCCGUAACUAUAACGGUCCUAAGGUAGCGAAAUUCCUUGUCGGGUAAGUUCCGACCUGCACGAAUGGCGUAAUGAUGGCCAGGCUGUCUCCACCCGAGACUCAGUGAAAUUGAACUCGCUGUGAAGAUGCAGUGUACCCGCGGCAAGACGGAAAGACCCCGUGAACCUUUACUAUAGCUUGACACUGAACAUUGAGCCUUGAUGUGUAGGAUAGGUGGGAGGCUUAGAAGUGUGGACGCCAGUCUGCAUGGAGCCGGCCUUGAAAUACCACCCUUUAAUGUUUGAUGUUCUAACGUUGGCCCCUGAUCGGGGUUGCGGACAGUGUCUGGUGGGUAGUUUGACUGGGGCGGUCUCCUCCUAAAGAGUAACGGAGGAGCACGAAGGUUGGCUAAUCCUGGUCGGACAUCAGGAGGUUAGUGCAAUGGCAUAAGCCAGCUUGACUGCGAGCGUGACGGCGCGAGCAGGUGCGAAAGCAGGUCAUAGUGAUCCGGUGGUUCUGAAUGGAAGGGCCAUCGCUCAACGGAUAAAAGGUACUCCGGGGAUAACAGGCUGAUACCGCCCAAGAGUUCAUAUCGACGGCGGUGUUUGGCACCUCGAUGUCGGCUCAUCACAUCCUGGGGCUGAAGUAGGUCCCAAGGGUAUGGCUGUUCGCCAUUUAAAGUGGUACGCGAGCUGGGUUUAGAACGUCGUGAGACAGUUCGGUCCCUAUCUGCCGUGGGCGCUGGAGAACUGAGGGGGGCUGCUCCUAGUACGAGAGGACCGGAGUGGACGCAUCACUGGUGUUCGGGUUGUCAUGCCAAUGGCACUGCCCGGUAGCUAAAUGCGGAAGAGAUAAGUGCUGAAAGCAUCUAAGCACGAAACUUGCCCCGAGAUGAGUUCUCCCUGACUCCUUGAGAGUCCUGAAGGAACGUUGAAGACGACGACGUUGAUAGGCCGGGUGUGUAAGCGCAGCGAUGCGUUGAGCUAACCGGUACUAAUGAACCGUGAGGCUUAACCUUACAACGCCGAAGCUGUU
Molecule: ribosomal RNA, 2934 nt
Filed under: Streptococcus danieliae
Lineage: Bacteria; Bacillati; Bacillota; Bacilli; Lactobacillales; Streptococcaceae
Description: 23S ribosomal RNA
Rfam family: Bacterial large subunit ribosomal RNA
Source: RNAcentral